This 449-nucleotide ribosomal RNA is filed under the name uncultured bacterium. RNAcentral describes it as "partial 16S ribosomal RNA". It matches the Rfam family "Bacterial small subunit ribosomal RNA", at positions 29 to 523 of the family's 1533-position model. The record is from RNAcentral.
AACGAACGCUGGCGGCAUGCCUAACACAUGCAAGUCGAACGAGAUCUUCGGGUCUAGUGGCGCACGGGUGCGUAACGCGUGGGAAUCUGCCCUUCGGUUCGGAAGAACAGUUGGAAACGACAGCUAAUACCGGAUGAUGACGAAAGUCCAAAGAUUUAUCGACAGAGGAUGAGCCCGCGUAGGAUUAGCUAGUUGGUGUGGUAAAGGCGCACCAAGGCGACGAUCCUUAGCUGGUCUGAGAGGAUGAUCAGCCACACUGGGACUGAGACACGGCCCAGACUCCUACGGGAGGCAGCAGUGGGGAAUAUUGGACAAUGGGCGAAAGCCUGAUCCAGCAAUGCCGCGUGAGUGAUGAAGGCCUUAGGGUUGUAAAGCUCUUUUACCCGGGAUGAUAAUGACAGUACCGGGAGAAUAAGCUCCGGCUAACUCCGUGCCAGCCGCCGCAGUAA